Molecule: ribosomal RNA, 257 nt
Filed under: uncultured bacterium
Lineage: Bacteria
Description: partial 16S ribosomal RNA
Rfam family: Bacterial small subunit ribosomal RNA
Source: RNAcentral
AACGUAGGAGACGGAGCGUUAUCCGGUAUUUGACUGGGCGUAAAGCGUGUGCAGGCGGUUCGGCAAGUUGGAUGUGAAAUCUCCCGGCUCAACGUGGGAGGGUCGUUCAAUACUACCGAACUUGAGGUCAUCAGAGGAAGGUGGAAUUCCGGGUGUAGUGGUGAAAUGCGUAGAUAUCCGGAGGAACACCAGUGGCGAAGGCGGCCUUCUGGGAUGAUCCUGACGCUCAGACGACGAAAGCUAGGGGAGCGAACGGG